CGGAGGAUCCAAGCGUUAUCCGGAAUCAUUGGGUUUAAAGGGUCCGUAGGCGGGUUUAUAAGUCAGUGGUGAAAGCCCAUCGCUCAACGAUGGAACGGCCAUUGAUACUGUAGAUCUUGAAUUAUUAGGAAGUAACUAGAAUAUGUAGUGUAGCGGUGAAAUGCUUAGAGAUUACAUGGAAUACCAAUUGCGAAGGUAGGUUACUACUAAUGGAUUGACGCUGAUGGACGAAAGCGUGGGUAGCGAACAGGAUUAGAUACCCUGGUAGUCCACGCCGUAAACGAUGGAUACUAGCUGUUCGGAGCAAUCUGAGUGGCUAAGCGAAAGUGAUAAGUAUCCCACCUGGGGAGUACGUUCGCAAGAAUG
Molecule: ribosomal RNA, 366 nt
Filed under: uncultured organism
Description: bacterial SSU rRNA
Rfam family: Bacterial small subunit ribosomal RNA
Source: RNAcentral